RNAcentral lists this ribosomal RNA (639 nucleotides) under uncultured bacterium. RNAcentral describes it as "bacterial SSU rRNA". It matches the Rfam family "Bacterial small subunit ribosomal RNA", at positions 213 to 843 of the family's 1533-position model. The record is from RNAcentral.
UCGCGUUUUCGGAGCGGCCGAUAUCGGAUUAGCUAGUAGGUGAGGUAAAGGCUCACCUAGGCGACGAUCCGUAGCUGGUCUGAGAGGACGACCAGCCACACUGGAACUGAGACACGGUCCAGACUCCUACGGGAGGCAGCAGUGGGGAAUUUUGGACAAUGGGCGAAAGCCUGAUCCAGCCAUGCCGCGUGAGUGAAGGAGGCCUUCGGGUUGUAAAGCUCUUUCAGCCGGAAAGAAAACGCAUGGGUUAAUAACCUGUGUGGAUGACGGUACCGGAAGAGGAAGCACCGGCUAACUACGUGCCAGCAGCCGCGGUAAUACGUAGGGUGCGAGCGUUAAUCGGAAUUACUGGGCGUAAAGCGUGCGCAGGCGGUUUUGUAAGACAGAUGUGAAAUCCCCGGGCUUAACCUGGGAACUGCAUUUGUGACUGCAAGGCUAGAGUACGGCAGAGGGGGGUAGAAUUCCACGUGUAGCAGUGAAAUGCGUAGAUAUGUGGAGGAAUACCGAUGGCGAAGGCAGCCCCCUGGGUCGAUACUGACGCUCAUGCACGAAAGCGUGGGGAGCAAACAGGAUUAGAUACCCUGGUAGUCCACGCCCUAAACGAUGUCAACUAGGUGUUGGGGGAGGAGACUUCCUUAG